RNAcentral lists this ribosomal RNA (300 nucleotides) under uncultured bacterium. Its description in RNAcentral is "bacterial SSU rRNA". It matches the Rfam family "Bacterial small subunit ribosomal RNA", at positions 114 to 415 of the family's 1533-position model. The record is from RNAcentral.
CGCGUAUGCAACCUACCUAUAACUGGAGGAUAGCCCAGAGAAAUUUGGAUUAAUACUCCAUAGUACUAAUGAUUCGCAUGAUGAAUUAGUUAAAGAAUUUUGGUUAUAGAUGGACAUGCGUUAGAUUAGCUAGUUGGUAAGGUAAUGGCUUACCAAGGCUACGAUCUAUAGCGGGUCUGAGAGGAUGAUCCGCCACACUGGAACUGAGACACGGUCCAGACUCCUACGGGAGGCAGCAGUAGGGAAUAUUGGGCAAUGGAGGCAACUCUGACCCAGCCAUGCCGCGUGAGGGAAGACGGC